UUAGUUAAAAGCUGCUUUAAUUUUAGGUCUCCAAUGGUAGUUUACUAUUUUGGGGUUCUUAAAAAAAAUAAGGAUACAGAGAAGAAAACAACACAAUUUUUUCUUCUUCCUUGACUACAACAAUACAAGCUUCAGUCCCUACAAAAAUACAAAGAAUAUUGACAUGAGACAGAGAUUGUGUGCUUCACUCCCGUGACACUGAGCUUCCUCCACUGAGACAACAUGAGACUGAGCUUGUCCGUGACUACCACACACGAGAAGAUCACAAGACUACAAUGCUACACUCCUACAAAACCAAGACAAGAACAUUAAUAACCACAGUUUUUAUAUCACCAAUAAAGAAGGCAAGAAGAUGCGACAGAGAACACAAGAACACUCUAUUAUAUACCAACAAGAUGAGACAGAGAACACAAGCUGACACAAACAUAAGCAUUUAUAUAAGCCAUACGAAGAACAAGUAACAGAGCAGUAUCAAUUACAAUGAUAAGCUUGGAAAAGUGAAACUACAUUGGAAAAUAAUGAAAACAUAGUAGUAUCAAUUACAAUGCCAAGAACGAAAGCAAAAGAAAGUAACUUUUACACAAACAUCAUCAUAACCAAGUGAUCAAAGCACAACAAACUUUAGACUCAAAAACAAAACACUUUAUAUCGUUUACACGAUGACAAUGGCAUGAUGAGAGAUACGAAGAUCAUCCUAAAGAAAAAAAAACCUAUCAUCAUCAUCAUCAGCAUUAUACAAUCAUAUCAAAACCAAAAAUACCAUCAUACACAAUUAUAUGGAAACAGAGGAAAAGUUUGAAAUUGGUUUACCUUCUUUUUUGUAAAAAAAAAAGGGUUUUCAGAAUCUGUGAAGAGUUCGGAGGAUCCGAUGAGUUUGUUUUUACGGGUGGGAAGAAGCUGGAUCGAAGAAAUCCGAUGGGGCGAUUCUGCAUGGGUUAUUACGAAUCGAGCCAUCAACAGAGAUGAGUGUAGCAGAGACGACGAUUUGGUGAACCAUGCAGUCGGUUUCGAUCGGCAGUCAGUUUCGAUUUCAACCCUUCGUUCGGAGAACGCGAGAGACGCAAAAGAAAAUACAGAAACAUUUUACUUUGCCUCAUGUGCUGACACGUGGGUGAAAAACCCUUCUAAAUAAUCG
This 1135-nucleotide long non-coding RNA is filed under the name Brassica napus (rape). Its description in RNAcentral is "long non-coding RNA (BNAP_LNC002224)". Lineage: Eukaryota; Viridiplantae; Streptophyta; Magnoliopsida; Brassicales; Brassicaceae. The record is from RNAcentral.